This is a long non-coding RNA of Cyprinus carpio carpio, 617 nucleotides long. Lineage: Eukaryota; Metazoa; Chordata; Actinopteri; Cypriniformes; Cyprinidae. The record is from Ensembl.
ACCUGUCUUAGCUCAUUAAGCUCCCUAUAUCACUGCACUCUCCCCACUGCCUUGUCAUCUAAGCUGUGUCCCAAACUUAAGUGCAUGGACUCCAGACUGCACAUUUGAAGUCUGAAUGUGUCACAGUGGUGUGACAAAGGCUGUCCCAAACUGAAGUGCGAUAGUGUCACGACGUAAGCUGUCCCAAAGAAAGACAAAGCUGUCCCUCUGAAGACCGCAUUUCAAGGCUGAUUGCAUCACUGCGGUGCGACGAAGGCCGAUGUAUUUCAAAAGCGAUUGAAACACUUCGCACCCUACCAUAUCCCAGAGUCACUUGCAUGCAGAUGACGAUGGUGUUUCUAUUCAAAGAUCAGGGCAGGAGGUGAAUCUCUUGGUGAAUGGCCAGCACCACCUCAGCGACUCGGAGGACAAUGCGGUAACAGUGGAACGAGGCACAGAAGACAGAAAAGAAACACCAGGGUCUGGAUUGUAGCACUUCUCAGAAGAUCCAGCAGCACUGUCAGGGCCUCCCUGCUCAGCCCAAAACCAUUAAAAACCUGUCCUGCGCUGGCACAUUCAAAUUUAUCCUGCAUUUUGUUUUAUUUUUGCUAACCUGUCUACAUAUGAUCACCAUGGUC